RNAcentral lists this transfer RNA (68 nucleotides) under Ictidomys tridecemlineatus (thirteen-lined ground squirrel). RNAcentral's name for it is "Spermophilus tridecemlineatus (thirteen-lined ground squirrel) tRNA". It matches the Rfam family "tRNA". From Rfam's summary of the family: Transfer RNA (tRNA) molecules are approximately 80 nucleotides in length. Lineage: Eukaryota; Metazoa; Chordata; Mammalia; Rodentia; Sciuridae. The record is from Rfam by way of RNAcentral.
GUGGUGGCUCAGUGGUAGAGUGUUUGCCUAGCACGCAUGAGGCACUGGGUUCAAUCCUCAGCACCACA